AGUAGGUGGCGGUAUACACUUUGGAUGCUGUUGUUUACCCGGCGAUGAGAACAGAGCGUCGCGCGCUGUAGCGGUUGCGCAGUCGGUGCGAGCUCGUGCGAGGUCUGCUGUCAGUCACCGGGAGACCGCCAUGUCCAAAGAGCAACAGACCCCCCGUGAGCCUGAGCAGCUCCGAAAGCUCUUUAUCGGGGGUCUCAGUUUUGAGACAACAGAUGAGAGUCUAAGGGCCCACUUCGAGCAAUGGGGGACUCUUACAGACUGUGUGGUGAUGAGGGACCCCAACACAAAGAGGUCGAGGGGUUUUGGGUUUGUGACCUAUAGUUCGGUGAAUGAGGUGGAUGCGGCGAUGGAUGCUCGUCCGCACAAAGUGGAUGGAAGAGCUGUUGAACCCAAGAGGGCAGUGUCUAGAGAAGACUCGAGCAGACCAGGUGCUCACUCCACUGUUAAAAAAAUGUUUGUUGGUGGAAUCAAAGAAGACACGGAUGAGGAACAUCUGCGCGAGUAUUUCAGCCAGUUUGGUAAAAUUGACGAGGUGAACAUCAUGACUGAGAAGAACAGUGAUAAGAGGAGGGGCUUCGCCUUCAUAACAUUUGAUGACCAUGAUGCUGUUGACAGGAUUGUCAUACAGAAAUACCACACAGUAAAUGGACACAACUGUGAAGUCAGGAAAGCUCUCUCCAGAGAGGAAAUGAACAGGGUGUCAGUGAAUCAACGAGGCGGGCGAGGAGGAGGAGGUGGUGGAGGUGGUGGUGGUGGUGGAAACUUUGGCAGAGGUGGAGGAUAUGGAGGUGGAUAUGGAGGAGGAAGAGGUGGUUACGGUGGAGGCGAUGGAUAUAAUGGCUAUGGAGGGAAUGGUGGCUAUGGUGGAGGUGGACCUAAUUAUGGUGGUAACCGUGGUUAUGGUGGAGGCAGCGGAGGUGGCGGCGGCUAUGGAAACCAGGGUGGAGGCUACGGUGGCGGCGGCGGUGGCUAUGAUAACUACAACAAUGGUGGUGGAGGCAACUUCGGAGGAGGCAACUUUGGAGGUGGCGGAGGCUACAAUGACUUUGGCAACUACAACAAUCAAUCUUCCUCUAACUAUGGCCCGAUGAAGGGAGGAAACUACGGAGGUGGUGGAAGGAGUGGUGGCGGUGGCGGCCCAUAUGGCGGUGGUUAUGGAGGAGGCUCUGGUGGUGGUUAUGGAGGAGGCUCUGGUGGGAGAAGGUUUUAGACUCCAGGGGAUAUAAACUUAUGGAUUGUAUACCUGAGACAUGGUUAGCGCUAGUUCAUGAAGGCUGGUGAUCUCGAAGGGUAGCUAAAGACUGAGGCCUACCCCAAAAACAGCAACUGUUCAAACAUUUUAACACUGGAUUAUUUUGCUGUUUUAUCCACAUUGACACAUGGCCAGAAUAUUUGAAUUGGUUGUGAGAGCGCCGAGUCAAAAACCAAACAAUAUCUGCUGGACAGCAUUAGAAAUUUUGUAACUUUUCAAUGUUUUUUUUAAUAGUGCAGUUUUUUAAGUAUAGUAUCAAAUGCUUUAUUUACCAAAGCAGUGAUUUUACACCUAUUUAUAUUUUGUGAUUCAGCUGGGAUUAAAAGCACAUGUAACAGCCAGACUAUAGAAAAUUAAUCAACCGAUCAAGUGAAAAAGGGUCUAUGUAUGAUAUGUCAACAUAUCAGCUGAGUUGUCUUGAGAAAUGUGAGCAAUAAAAUAUAUUUUGAUUAUA
RNA transcript from Carassius auratus (goldfish), 1706 nucleotides. It is a transcript of the gene named heterogeneous nuclear ribonucleoprotein A1a, with no coding region annotated. The record is from RefSeq and is a predicted model, not a curated record. NCBI's taxonomy places the organism in Eukaryota, Metazoa, Chordata, Actinopteri, Cypriniformes, Cyprinidae. The transcript has 13 exons.